CCUACGGGAGACAGCAGUGAGGAAUAUUGGUCAAUGGCCGAGAGGCUGAACCAGCCAAGUCGCGUGAGGGAAGAAUGUCCUAUGGAUUGUAAACCUCUUUUGUCAGGGAGUAAAGUCACCCACGUGUGGGUGUUUGAGAGUACCUGAAGAAAAAGCAUCGGCUAACUCCGUGCCAGCAGCCGCGGUAAUACGGAGGAUGCGAGCGUUAUCCGGAUUUAUUGGGUUUAAAGGGUGCGUAGGCGGGUUAUCAAGUCAGCGGUAAAAUCGUGGAGCUCAACUCCAUCCAGCCGUUGAAACUGAUGAUCUUGAGUGGGCGAGAAGUAUGCGGAAUGCGUGGUGUAGCGGUGAAAUGCAGAGAUAUCACGCAGAACUCCGAUUGCGAAGGCAGCAUACCGGCGCCCGACUGACGCUGAAGCACGAAAGCGUGGGUAUCGAACAGGAUUAGAUACCCGGGUAGUC
Molecule: ribosomal RNA, 459 nt
Filed under: uncultured bacterium
Lineage: Bacteria
Description: partial 16S ribosomal RNA
Rfam family: Bacterial small subunit ribosomal RNA
Source: RNAcentral